UUUGCAGAAGUCAUGUACCACACUUUGUCAACAAUAAAUGUUGUUUCUGCAAUCUGGAUAAAGAAUAAUAUAUUACUGCCUCUUGGAGAACAGCCGACCGUACUCCAGAGACAAAGACGUGAGGACAUCCAUUGCUUUUAAGUCAUGUACCACACUUUGUCAACAAUGCAUGUUGUUCCUGCAAUCUGGAUGAAGAAUAAU
This is a non-coding RNA of Paramisgurnus dabryanus, 201 nucleotides long. The record is from RefSeq and is a predicted model, not a curated record. Lineage: Eukaryota; Metazoa; Chordata; Actinopteri; Cypriniformes; Cobitidae.